Molecule: ribosomal RNA, 421 nt
Filed under: bacterium
Lineage: Bacteria
Description: partial 16S ribosomal RNA
Rfam family: Bacterial small subunit ribosomal RNA
Source: RNAcentral
UGGGGGAUAUUGCACAAUGGGCGAAAGCCUGAUGCAGCGACGCCGCGUGGGGGAUGAAGGCUUUCGGGUUGUAAACCUCUUUCGCUAUCGAACAAGUCCCGCGUAGGGUGGGUUGAGGGUAGGUGGAGAAGAAGCGCCGGCUAACUACGUGCCAGCAGCCGCGGUAAUACGCAGGGCGCGAGCGUUGUCCGGAAUUAUUGGGCGUCAAGGGCUUGUAGUCGGCUUGUUGCGCCUGAUGUGAAAACGCGGGGCUUAACUUCGCGCGUGAAGUGGGUACGGGCAGGCUUGAGUGGAGUAGGGGUGACUGGAAUUCCAGGUGUAGCGGUGGAAUGCGCAGAUAUCUGGAGGAACACCGAUGGCGAAGGCAGGGCACUGGGCCAUUACUGACGCUGAGGAGCGAAAGGAUGGGUAGCGAACAGGA